This 2108-nucleotide ribosomal RNA is filed under the name Campylobacter jejuni. RNAcentral's name for it is "partial 23S ribosomal RNA". It matches the Rfam family "Bacterial large subunit ribosomal RNA", at positions 830 to 2925 of the family's 2925-position model. Lineage: Bacteria; Pseudomonadati; Campylobacterota; Epsilonproteobacteria; Campylobacterales; Campylobacteraceae. The record is from RNAcentral.
CAAUCAAACUUCGUGAUAGCUGGUUCUCUCCGAAAUAUAUUUAGGUAUAGCGUUGUGUCGUAAUAUAAGGGGGUAGAGCACUGAAUGGGCUAGGGCAUACACCAAUGUACCAAACCCUAUCAAACUCCGAAUACCUUAUAUGUAAUCACAGCAGUCAGGCGGCGAGUGAUAAAAUCCGUCGUCAAGAGGGAAACAACCCAGACUACCAGCUAAGGUCCCUAAGUCUUACUUAAGUGGAAAACGAUGUGAAGUUACUUAAACAACCAGGAGGUUGGCUUAGAAGCAGCCAUCCUUUAAAGAAAGCGUAAUAGCUCACUGGUCUAGUGAUUUUGCGCGGAAAAUAUAACGGGGCUAAAGUAAGUACCGAAGCUGUAGACUUAGUUUACUAAGUGGUAGGAGAGCGUUCUAUUUGCGUCGAAGGUAUACCGGUAAGGAGUGCUGGAGCGAAUAGAAGUGAGCAUGCAGGCAUGAGUAGCGAUAAUUAAUGUGAGAAUCAUUAACGCCGUAAACCCAAGGUUUCCUACGCGAUGCUCGUCAUCGUAGGGUUAGUCGGGUCCUAAGUCGAGUCCGAAAGGGGUAGACGAUGGCAAAUUGGUUAAUAUUCCAAUACCAACAUUAGUGUGCGAUGGAAGGACGCUUAGGGCUAAGGGGGCUAGCGGAUGGAAGUGCUAGUCUAAGGUCGUAGGAGGUUGUACAGGCAAAUCCGUAUAACAAUACUCCGAGAACUGAAAGGCUUUUUGAAGUCUUCGGAUGGAUAGAAGAACCCCUGAUGCCGUCGAGCCAAGAAAAGUUUCUAAGUUUAGCUAAUGUUGCCCGUACCGUAAACCGACACAGGUGGGUGGGAUGAGUAUUCUAAGGCGCGUGGAAGAACUCUCUUUAAGGAACUCUGCAAAAUAGCACCGUAUCUUCGGUAUAAGGUGUGGUUAGCUUUGUAUUAGGAUUUACUCCGAAAGCAAGGAAACUUACAACAAAGAGUCCCUCCCGACUGUUUACCAAAAACACAGCACUCUGCUAACUCGUAAGAGGAUGUAUAGGGUGUGACGCCUGCCCGGUGCUCGAAGGUUAAUUGAUGGGGUUAGCAUUAGCGAAGCUCUUGAUCGAAGCCCGAGUAAACGGCGGCCGUAACUAUAACGGUCCUAAGGUAGCGAAAUUCCUUGUCGGUUAAAUACCGACCUGCAUGAAUGGCGUAACGAGAUGGGAGCUGUCUCAAAGAGGGAUCCAGUGAAAUUGUAGUGGAGGUGAAAAUUCCUCCUACCCGCGGCAAGACGGAAAGACCCCGUGGACCUUUACUACAGCUUGACACUGCUACUUGGAUAAGAAUGUGCAGGAUAGGUGGGAGGCUUUGAGUAUAUGACGCCAGUUGUAUAUGAGCCAUUGUUGAGAUACCACUCUUUCUUAUUUGGGUAGCUAACCAGCUUGAGUUAUCCUCAAGUGGGACAAUGUCUGGUGGGUAGUUUGACUGGGGCGGUCGCCUCCCAAAUAAUAACGGAGGCUUACAAAGGUUGGCUCAGAACGGUUGGAAAUCGUUCGUAGAGUAUAAAGGUAUAAGCCAGCUUAACUGCAAGACAUACAAGUCAAGCAGAGACGAAAGUCGGUCUUAGUGAUCCGGUGGUUCUGUGUGGAAGGGCCAUCGCUCAAAGGAUAAAAGGUACCCCGGGGAUAACAGGCUGAUCUCCCCCAAGAGCUCACAUCGACGGGGAGGUUUGGCACCUCGAUGUCGGCUCAUCGCAUCCUGGGGCUGGAGCAGGUCCCAAGGGUAUGGCUGUUCGCCAUUUAAAGCGGUACGCGAGCUGGGUUCAGAACGUCGUGAGACAGUUCGGUCCCUAUCUGCCGUGGGCGUAAGAAGAUUGAAGAGAUUUGACCCUAGUACGAGAGGACCGGGUUGAACAAACCACUGGUGUAGCUGUUGUUCUGCCAAGAGCAUCGCAGCGUAGCUAAGUUUGGAAAGGAUAAACGCUGAAAGCAUCUAAGCGUGAAGCCAACUCUAAGAUGAAUCUUCUCUAAGCUCUCUAGAAGACUACUAGUUUGAUAGGCUGGGUGUGUAAUGGAUGAAAGUCCUUUAGCUGACCAGUACUAAUAGAGCGUUUGGCUUAUCUUUAAUAAAGCAU